Molecule: long non-coding RNA, 570 nt
Filed under: Hordeum vulgare
Lineage: Eukaryota; Viridiplantae; Streptophyta; Magnoliopsida; Poales; Poaceae
Description: long non-coding RNA (HVUL_LNC014115)
Source: RNAcentral
AAAAAAUCAUGUGGCAACAAGUACCGCAGCCCAUGGCGUUACACUGUUGGUUCGUCCGCCUGCCUCCGUACCCGUAACCGAGCAUGCCGAAUGGUAUGCUACUACUCUCAUAUUCUCCAAAAGGGAUAUCGCCGGCUCUUCUGCCGCGACCUGGAUGAGGCUACCCACUAUGCCUCCGCCCCCGCCAAGCUGACCCUGCUGUCAUGGAGACGUCCGCUUCGUUGUUGUCGAGAGCCAACCAACUGACUGCAGCCGAGUGACCCCGUUUCACGCGGUAUGUUCCCUGUGCCUCCCGCGACCGAGAACAAGAUCUUCUCGUCUACUGCGUUCAUUUCUCCUGUAGCAGCAGCCAAAAGCGAGACCUUCACCUCACCCCCAACAUGCACGGUCUAGGCCAUCGCCACGGCAUGUGCCGCGAGCGCGAGGCAGAGCAGGGGGAGUGAUGUGACAAUGCUAGAGUGCUUCUUGGUAAUGUUGAGCUCUAGGUCCUACUCGCUCUCUCGUGUUAUUGUGUGUGUGAGAACAUAUGCUUCUGCUGAUGCACUUGUGCUAUAAAUUACUGCUCCACGG